CCUACGGGUGGCAGCAGUGAGGAAUAUUGGUCAAUGGCCGAGAGGCUGAACCAGCCAAGUCGCGUGAGGGAUGACGGCCCUACGGUUUUUAAACCUCUUUUGCCGGGGAGCAACUGGCGCCACGUGUGGCACCACUGCGAGUACCUUAAGAACAAGCAUCGGCUGACUCCCGGCAAGCAGCCGCGGUAAUACGAAGGAUGCGAGCGUUAUCCGGAUUUAUUGGGUUUAAAGGGUGCGUAGGCGGAUAGUUAAGUCAGUGGUCAAAUUGAGGGGAUAAACCCCUUCCCGCCAUUGAAACUGGCGCUCUUGAGUGGAAGAGAGGUAUGCGGAAUGCGUGGUGUAGCGGUGAAAUGCAUAGAGAUCACGCAGAACCCUGAUUGCGAAGGCAGCAUGCCGGCUCCCGACUGACGCUGAAGCACGAAAGCGUGGGGAUCGAACAGGAUUAGAUACCCCAGUAGUC
RNAcentral lists this ribosomal RNA (460 nucleotides) under uncultured bacterium. RNAcentral describes it as "partial 16S ribosomal RNA". It matches the Rfam family "Bacterial small subunit ribosomal RNA", at positions 338 to 795 of the family's 1533-position model. The record is from RNAcentral.